This is a long non-coding RNA of Stegodyphus dumicola, 697 nucleotides long. The record is from RefSeq and is a predicted model, not a curated record. Lineage: Eukaryota; Metazoa; Arthropoda; Arachnida; Araneae; Eresidae.
UCAAUGCAAAAUAAAAGCAAGUAAAUGUUCAGCUUUCAUAAUAUCUAUCUGUCAGUGGUGUUAGAUUAGUAAUUAGAAGAUUCGGUAUUUAUUCGACUGGGUCACUGAUGCGUUAGAGACUUGUUCGAGAAAUUAAAAUAUGUAGGAUGUUUCAUCUAUUACAGUAACUGUGUUGUUUUAUAUUUAUAAAAAACUUUCUUCUAUAGUUAGUAAGUAGGCUUAGAAAUAGUUGAAGGCUUAAAAAGACUAACCGCUGAAGAUAACUGAAAGAAGCUGGUCAAAUUCCCGAUAAAUUUAAGACCGCCGGCCCGGCCCCGGGGAACCCAUGCAGCCAGAGACAUUCGGACGAAGAACACCACGGCAAAUGGCCCCGCCCACCCCUGGGGUACCUUCUGCCCGAUGGUAGUCGGAAGAGAGGGGGGAGUGCUGUGGUAAAACCUCAUCGAAAAGCAAAAAUAAAAGAAAAAGAAGAAAGAAGGUAAACCGGAGGAACAGACCCAGACCGCGUUUUUCUGUGUGGAGUGCGGCGGUGUGUUCUGCGUGUCUGUUGGAACUAUGGCUGCUGCCGCAUCUGGCCGGCACCCGGCCCCACUGCGGGCCUCGGUGAUGGCGAUCGUGUGUCUACUGCUUCCAGCCUGUUUUGGUGGUGCUGCGUAUUUCGUAUCUCAUCCCGACCACCGAGUUGCGCCAGGUAAGU